Daphnia carinata is the source of this 420-nucleotide long non-coding RNA. RefSeq lists it as uncharacterized. Lineage: Eukaryota; Metazoa; Arthropoda; Branchiopoda; Diplostraca; Daphniidae. The transcript is spliced from 3 exons. The record is from RefSeq and is a predicted model, not a curated record.
CAAGGAUCUUCCACUGCAUCUGUCCUAACUUUCCGAUGUCAUCGUCGGGCGCUUCGCAUGUCUGUAUUCAUUUUAGGAUUCUUCCGAAAUCAGUCACUUGCUGAUUUUUGAUGCAAAUGGAGUGCUUACAUCAAUUGUUUGCUAGUCUACAGCAUACUGUGCUAUGAGAAUCACUGGCCAACGAUGCGAAUCCUUCGAAAAUGACUAACGGAAUUUUAUUUUUAAUAACGAGCAAAAUGCUAGAUAUUACUGCUGUGUAAGCGUGUUGCAGACCGCAGAAGUUUCCUGGUUUCAUCAACGGCGGUUGAAGAGUUAGCAUAUAUAUACAAACAUACAGCAAUAAUUAUAAUAUAAAAAAUUCAUUAUGUUUUAUUAAUUAUGUUAAAAAACCCUAAUCAUUAUUGCACUACGAAUAUCUUA